CAGUGAUAAACUGGAGGAAGGUGGGGAUGACGUCAAGUCAUCAUGGCCCUUACGAGUAGGGCUACACACGUGCUACAAUGGCAUAUACAAAGAGAAGCGACCUCGCGAGAGCAAGCGGACCUCAUAAAGUAUGUCGUAGUCCGGAUUGGAGUCUGCAACUCGACUCCAUGAAGUCGGAAUCGCUAGUAAUCGUGGAUCAGAAUGCCACGGUGAAUACGUUCCCGGGCCUUGUACACACCGCCCGUCACACCAUGGGAGUGGGUUGCAAAAGAAGUAGGUAGCUUAACCUUCGGGAGGGCGCUUACCACUUUGUGAUUCAUGACUGGGGUGAAGUCGUAACAAGGUAACCGUAGGGGAACCUGCGGUUGGAUCACCUCCUUA
Molecule: ribosomal RNA, 381 nt
Filed under: Citrobacter freundii
Lineage: Bacteria; Pseudomonadati; Pseudomonadota; Gammaproteobacteria; Enterobacterales; Enterobacteriaceae
Also listed under: 4 other names
Description: bacterial SSU rRNA
Rfam family: Bacterial small subunit ribosomal RNA
Source: RNAcentral